Molecule: ribosomal RNA, 489 nt
Filed under: uncultured soil bacterium
Lineage: Bacteria
Description: bacterial SSU rRNA
Rfam family: Bacterial small subunit ribosomal RNA
Source: RNAcentral
AGAUUGAACGCUGGCGGCAUGCCUUACACAUGCAAGUCGAACGGCAGCACGGGGGGUAACCCCUGGUGGCGAGUGGCGAACGGGUGAGUAAUAUAUCGGAACAUGCCCUGUAGCGGGGGAUAACGCGUCGAAAGAUGUGCUAAUACCGCAUACGCUCUACGGAGGAAAGCGGGGGUCGCAAGACCUCGCACUAUAGGAGUGGCCGAUAUCGGAUUAGCUAGUUGGCGGGGUAAAAGCCCACCAAGGCGACGAUCCGUAGCUGGUCUGAGAGGAUGAUCAGCCACACUGGAACUGAGACACGGUCCAGACUCCUACGGGAGCAGCAGUGGGAAUUUUGGGCAAUGGGCGCAAGCCUGAUCCAGCCAUGCCGCGUGAGUGAAGAAGGCCUUCGGUUGUAAAGCUCUUUCGGCAGGAACGAAAUGGUUCGUGCUAAUACCACGGAUUGAUGACGUACUGAAGAAGAAGCACCGCUAACUACGUGCCAGCACG